UGGCGCACGGGUGAGUAACACGUGGGAACGUGCCCUUCACUACGGGACAACGUCAGGAAACUGACGCUAAUACCGUAUAAUGUCUCCGGACCAAAGAUUUAUCGGUGAAGGAUCGGCCCGCGUCUGAUUAGCUAGUUGGUGAGGUAAUGGCUCACCAAGGCGACGAUCAGUAGCUGGUUUGAGAGAAUGAUCAGCCACACUGGGACUGAGACACGGCCCAG
Molecule: ribosomal RNA, 221 nt
Filed under: uncultured bacterium
Lineage: Bacteria
Description: partial 16S ribosomal RNA
Rfam family: Bacterial small subunit ribosomal RNA
Source: RNAcentral